GACGAACGCUGGCGGCGUGCUUAACACAUGCAAGUCGAACGGAAAGGCCCCUUUGGGGGUACUCGAGUGGCGAACGGGUGAGUAACACGUGAGUAACCUGCCCUUGACUUCGGGAUAACUUCAGGAAACUGGGGCUAAUACCGGAUAGGAAUCCUUGCUGCAUGGUGGGGGUUGGAAAGCUUCGGCGGUUUUGGAUGGACUCGCGGCUUAUCAGCUUGUUGGUGGGGUAGUGGCUUACCAAGGCUUUGACGGGUAGCCGGCCUGAGAGGGCGACCGGCCACAUUGGGACUGAGAUACGGCCCAGACACCUACGGGAGGCAGCAGGGGGGAAUAUUGCACAAGGGGCGGAAGCCUGAUGCAGCAACGCCGCGUGCGGGAUGACGGCCUUCGGGUUGUAAACCGCAUUCAGCAGGGGCGAAGCUUGUGGUGACGGUACCUGCAGAAGAAGCACCGGCUAACUACGUG
RNAcentral lists this ribosomal RNA (465 nucleotides) under uncultured bacterium. RNAcentral describes it as "partial 16S ribosomal RNA". It matches the Rfam family "Bacterial small subunit ribosomal RNA", at positions 28 to 507 of the family's 1533-position model. The record is from RNAcentral.